GCACCCUUAACUUAACAGGCAAAGACUGGUCUUUUAAACCAUGGGUCGGGGGUUCGAGUCCUCCAGGGUGUACCA
This 75-nucleotide transfer RNA is filed under the name marine sediment metagenome. RNAcentral's name for it is "tRNA-Lys". It matches the Rfam family "tRNA". From Rfam's summary of the family: Transfer RNA (tRNA) molecules are approximately 80 nucleotides in length. Their secondary structure includes four short double-helical elements and three loops (D, anti-codon, and T loops). The record is from RNAcentral.